GUCCCUUCCAACUCUACAAUUCUAUGAAACCAGGAUCAAUUUUUUUCUACCUAUUUCAUAGAAUCAUAGAAUCAUAGAGUUGGAAGAGAC
This is a non-coding RNA of Podarcis lilfordi (Lilford's wall lizard), 90 nucleotides long. The record is from the annotation of a GenBank genome assembly. NCBI's taxonomy places the organism in Eukaryota, Metazoa, Chordata, Lepidosauria, Squamata, Lacertidae.